This 382-nucleotide ribosomal RNA is filed under the name uncultured eukaryote. RNAcentral describes it as "partial 18S ribosomal RNA". It matches the Rfam family "Eukaryotic small subunit ribosomal RNA", at positions 592 to 976 of the family's 1831-position model. The record is from RNAcentral.
CAAUAGCGUAUAUUGAAGUUGUUGCGGUUAAAAAGCUCGUCGUUGGAUUUCUGUUGAGGUCGAACCGUGCCGCCCUAUGGGUGCGCAACUGGCUCGGCUUCGGCAUCUUCUUGGAGAGCGCAUCUGCACUUAACUGUGUGGAUCGUACUUCAAGUCAGUUACUUUGAGGAAUUGUGAGUGUUUCAAGCAGGCUUACGCCGUUGAAUCCGUUAGCAUGGAAUAAUAGGAUAGGACCUCGGUUCUAUUUUGUUGGUUUUGAGAGCUGGGGCAGCGAUUGAUAGGGACGGAUGGGGGCGUCCGAACUUUACUGUCAGAGGUGAAAUUCUUAGAUCGGUCAAAGGCGAACUACUGCGAACGCAUUCGCCAAGAAUGUUUUCUUUAA